This 23-nucleotide small nuclear RNA is filed under the name Arabidopsis thaliana (thale cress). RNAcentral describes it as "snRNA_03386". The record is from RNAcentral. Lineage: Eukaryota; Viridiplantae; Streptophyta; Magnoliopsida; Brassicales; Brassicaceae.
UAGUCAAAUGUGUCAGAUCCUAU